UGCUUACCAUGCAAGUCGAACGGUGAAGCAGAGCUUGCUCUGUGGAUCAGUGGCGAACGGGUGAGUAACACGUGAGCAACCUGCCCCUGACUCUGGGAUAAGCGCUGGAAACGGCGUCUAAUACCGGAUAUGAGCUGCGAUCGCAUGGUCAGCAGUUGGAAAGAUUUUUCGGUCUGGGAUGGGCUCACGGCCUAUCAGCUUGUUGGUGAGGUAAUGGCUCACCAAGGCGUCGACGGGUAGCCGGCCUGAGAGGGUGACCGGCCACACUGGGACUGAGACACGGCCCAGACUCCUACGGGAGGCAGCAGUGGGGAAUAUUGCACAAUGGGCGAAAGCCUGAUGCAGCAACGCCGCGUGAGGGAUGACGGCCUUCGGGUUGUAAACCUCUUUUAGCAGGGAAGAAGCGAAAGUGACGGUACCUGCAGAAAAAGCGCCGGCUAACUACGUGCCAGCAGCCGCGGUAAUACGUAGGGCGCAAGCGUUAUCCGGAAUUAUUGGGCGUAAAGAGCUCGUAGGCGGUUUGUCGCGUCUGCUGUGAAAUCCCGAGGCUCAACCUCGGGUCUGCAGUGGGUACGGGCAGACUAGAGUGCGGUAGGGGAGAUUGGAAUUCCUGGUGUAGCGGUGGAAUGCGCAGAUAUCAGGAGGAACACCGAUGGCGAAGGCAGAUCUCUGGGCCGUUACUGACGCUGAGGAGCGAAAGGGUGGGGAGCAAACAGGCUUAGAUACCCUGGUAGUCCACCCCGUAAACGUUGGGAACUAGUUGUGGGGUCCAUUCCACGGAUUCCGUGACGCAGCUAACGCAUUAAGUUCCCCGCCUGGGGAGUACGGCCGCAAGGCUAAAACUCAAAGGAAUUGACGGGGACCCGCACAAGCGGCGGAGCAUGCGGAUUAAUUCGAUGCAACGCGAAGAACCUUACCAAGGCUUGACAUACACGAGAACGGGC
Molecule: ribosomal RNA, 944 nt
Filed under: Microbacterium sp.
Lineage: Bacteria; Bacillati; Actinomycetota; Actinomycetes; Micrococcales; Microbacteriaceae
Description: bacterial SSU rRNA
Rfam family: Bacterial small subunit ribosomal RNA
Source: RNAcentral